CUCUACUGUUUUUUUGCGCUACUAGAAAAAGUUUGUUUUUUUGACAUAAAAACAAUAGAAACCCUACGCCUUUCCUGGUUACGAUACAUAUUGCUCUCAUCGAAUUGAUUGCUCGUGCAGGUGGUUGCGUUGGUAUAGACAGUGGGGCAUCAUGAAUUUUUCUAUGCAACGCAAUAUUGAACUCGUGAAGGAUUGUGUGAAUAAAUGCACGAACGACUUUCUUUUCCAGGCUGACUACGAGAAGAACUUGGAGGUUGUGGACAAGAUCAACAACAAUCCAUCAUUGGCGAGUUUGUUUAUGAAGUCGAUAGAGGAUACGCUCACCAACGCAAGUACGGAGACGAAGGCAUGCCUGACGAUUGAGUUGCUUAAGACUAUUCUGCAGAACUGCUUAUGCUUUAUUCCUGUAUACUCUAAGAAGAAGUAUCAAGACGCAAUUAUGAAUUUUGUGCUUACUACAAAGUAUUUACGAGCACGAGAUGAGAUGCUGCAGAUAAUUCAAAUGCUCGGGACGUAUUAUACUGGUGAAUCUGAAUACAAUUUUAUGCAGACGUACAACAAGCUAUUAUACUUGCAUCAUUUGAAUUUCCCGCCACAUCGAGAGAUAUUCGAACCCCCUAGCUCUGUCAAUCCGACGUCAAGUCGGAUGCAAGGGAUUGAUAACAUAAUUACAGGAGUUGGAAAGGAGAGAGAUUACGAUAGGUCGUUGGCGGAUCAGUUGUCCAAUACGACUGUACAAAGGCAAUAUCGCCAGCUUUGCGCGAACAUCCGAAACCCAAAAAUAGAGGAGCUGGUCAGAAACUUCGAUGAGGCAUGGAAAAUAGCGACGGAUGCACUCAGCCGCGCGUCGAUCAAUGAAAAACCAUUGGAGGAAAGCGAUGCAUUGCACUCAGUAAUACCGCUGAUGAAGAAUUGGCACCAAGGUAUUAUCGGAUGGAUGCAGCAGGGGAACAUGAAUCUGAGUGAACAAGAAACAAAUUUACUGUUUUUGAUCAACGAUCAAAUUGUAGACAUAAUGAAGAGGUACGACGCCAUCAACACGAAUACAGCAAGUUACAGGCUAAAGAACAGUAGGCAAAUGUUGCACCUACGCAAAAAUUCUGAAAAAUCGAAGAAGAAGCUAGAUCGACGAGAAUCGACAGAAAAUGUCCGAAACGCCUUUGUAAAAAUUGCGUCACGAAAAAGAGACAUUUUAGAAAAAUUGGGAAAAAACGUUGGGUCUACAUCGCCAAAAUCAGACUUAAUGAGUUUAUUAUCAGAUAAUGUUCAGUCUUCUUCGAAAGGUGAUCCGUUUUCGUCUGAGUUUGGCGGCUUAUCUCUCAGUCCAAAACCGUGGAUAGAAUCUGUAGUUGAUCAACGUGUCGAUUCAACAAAAGAUUCUAGUCAAUCAGGUUUAUUGUCCUUGCAGCCUUUUACUUCUACCUCAUCAUCUCCAAUAAUCUCAUCACAGGUCAAAUUGAAUCAGACGGAGCGAAAUGCUUCACCGAUUUUAGACUUGUUCCAAAACGCCUCGUACCAUCAGUCUCCCACCCAAAUACCCGCGAAUGUCAACAACUUGGGUACCGUCAAAAGUGCACACUCCGGUGAAUCUAGCUUCUUCUCUCAAAAACAGUUUCAAGCAUUUCCAGAAUCUCGGACCGAUGGACCACAAUUUCAAAGGCGUAAUUGAUGCGUCGAGGACGCAUCUAUUUGCUCAUUCGAAGGGGUGCUGAGUGGUGCUCUGUAUUCCAUAGUAUGAAAGGCGCAAGAAGUUUUUCGUAAAGGCAACGCGUUUCGGCAAACACAGAACCUUUCAGAAUGUAUUUUUUACUCUCCAAGUACCGCAGCUUUCAGGAGUUUUUGCGAACCGCUUUUUUUUUUCUUUUUAAAUUUGAAAUUUGCCAAGAGUCGCAUUCUCAUUUGGCGUGUCGAGAUCUUUGUAUGUGUUAUGUCGUUGAGUGUUUAUGCAUCUAAGCUGCUGAAGCCCGAGUUUCGGAGCUACUUAAUGUCCACCCAUUUUUGGGGUCCCCUGGCCAACUGGGGAUUUGUCGUACGCAUGCAUUGAGGGAGGCGGGCUGCAGAGAGACAGUGGUCUUGUCUGGCAGGGAAAAGGGGGGUUGAGGCGAGUGUGCCUUCUGCGAAUCUAACCGGCCUUUCUCCGAAUUGUCGCCUCUGCACGUACCUGAACGGGGGGGGGGGGUUUUGACGCAUGAAAAAAAGAUUGCUGUACGUCAAAAACUUGUCGUGCUCGUCAGCGACUAAAUUUUUUUUUUGAAGCAGGCGCGAGUUUGGCGCUGACAAGAAUUCAUUUCAUUGCGCUACUUUGGGGUGUAGGGGCUGAUAGAUUCGAAGAAGCCACCGGAGGCCAUAUCAGGUCCCAUGACGGCGGCGAUGUGUGUGUAUUCGAUGUUGUUCAUGUAUGCGUGCCGAUAGAGAGAGGUUCCUGUCGAGGCAGAGAGGGCGGAAGGAAUUAAGUACUUGUGUGUUGUAGGCGGUUUGCGUGGGUGGUGAAGCCGAGAAACAUGUUGUUGUUCGCGUGUCAUCUUAGCAACGAGACGGUGCAGCUGUACCAGUUGGGAAGGAAGAUGAGACACGAAUGGAGCUAGAGUUGUGGGUCGUUCCGUUCUGAAGAGAGAGAGAGAGAGAAGUAAAAAGCCGUUUUUUUUUUUUGAACUUAUUUUUGUCGAGUUGAAGAGGUAGAGCGUUUUUGGUGG
Schistocerca gregaria is the source of this 2693-nucleotide RNA transcript. RefSeq lists it as uncharacterized. NCBI's taxonomy places the organism in Eukaryota, Metazoa, Arthropoda, Insecta, Orthoptera, Acrididae. The transcript has 5 exons. The record is from RefSeq and is a predicted model, not a curated record.